RNAcentral lists this ribosomal RNA (371 nucleotides) under uncultured organism. Its description in RNAcentral is "bacterial SSU rRNA". It matches the Rfam family "Bacterial small subunit ribosomal RNA", at positions 526 to 896 of the family's 1533-position model. The record is from RNAcentral.
CGAACCGUGCAAACGUUGUUCGGAAUCACUGGGCUUAAAGGGCGCGUAGGCGGGGGACCAAGUCCGGGGUGAAAUCUUUCGGCUCAACCGGAAAACUGCCUUGGAUACUGGUCUUCUUGAGGGAGGUAGGGGCAGGUGGAACUUCCGGUGGAGCGGUGAAAUGCGUUGAUAUCGGAAGGAACGCCGGUGGCGAAAGCGGCCUGCUGGAUCUCUUCUGACGCUGAGGCGCGAAAGCUAGGGGAGCGAACGGGAUUAGAUACCCCGGUAGUCCUAGCCCUAAACGAUGGGUACUAGGUUGCGGACUUGACAUGGGUUCGCAGCCGAAGCAAAAGUGUUAAGUACCCCGCCUGGGGAGUAUGGUCGCAAGGCUG